Molecule: long non-coding RNA, 213 nt
Filed under: Gossypium raimondii (Peruvian cotton)
Lineage: Eukaryota; Viridiplantae; Streptophyta; Magnoliopsida; Malvales; Malvaceae
Description: long non-coding RNA (GRAI_LNC004117)
Source: RNAcentral
GGGAUUCGAGGGAGGAUUUCUUUUAUUUCUUUUUGAUUUUCUGUAAUUCGGGCUAUAAAGAAGCCAAUACAAACGUUGUAAAAAAACACAGUUUAAGAAAUAAAAAAAAUUCAAAGAAAGAGAAUUAAAAAGGUGAUUUUGAUCAUUCUUUUGGCUUAUUCGGUUUUGUUUUUCCUUUUUCUUUUUUCUUUUUGGUUUUCUUUUCUGUGUUAG